RNAcentral lists this unclassified non-coding RNA (378 nucleotides) under Hevea brasiliensis (rubber tree). Lineage: Eukaryota; Viridiplantae; Streptophyta; Magnoliopsida; Malpighiales; Euphorbiaceae. The record is from RNAcentral.
AAGUUGUGACACCUUUCCAUCCUGUGGAGAAGCAAAUAAAAAAUAACUAACUAAUUGGAAAUAAGAUUAAGAUGAAACAACCAAUUAUUCAAGCUCAAGCCCAAAGCAUUCAAAAGCACAUGUAGGAACAGUUUUCUUUUAUCUGUACUCAUAUAAAUAAUGUGUACGUCCCAGCAUGUGCCAAAAAAACCAGAUCAGAAAUUCAAGGUGAAUGACUCGAUUUAAUUUGACAAUAAUAUUGCAACAAACUCUGAUACUCCGAUCCUUCAUUUUGCACUGUUGUCCCCGUGUCGACAUGACAUGACAUGGAAUAUGUGUCCAACACAAUUCAUACAGUCGGACACUCGAGUGAAUGAGAUCUCUCAAGAUGAAAAGCAU